RNAcentral lists this ribosomal RNA (1170 nucleotides) under Filarioid sp. JK-2007. RNAcentral's name for it is "SSU rRNA". It matches the Rfam family "Eukaryotic small subunit ribosomal RNA", at positions 592 to 1787 of the family's 1831-position model. The record is from RNAcentral. Lineage: Eukaryota; Metazoa; Nematoda; Chromadorea; Rhabditida.
UCAAAGUGUAUAUCGUCAUUGCUGCGGUUAAAAAGCUCGUAGUUGGAUCUGCGUCUCAGGACCUGGUCCAUCCAUUGGAUGAGAACUGGGCUCCUAGGCUAAUAUUGCCAGUUUUCCUUACGUUACCUUAAUUGGUUGCGUAUGGUGGCUAGCAAGUUUACCUUGAAAAAAUUAGAGUGCUCAAUGCGGGCUAAUGCCUGAAUACUCGUGCAUGGAAUAAUGAAAUAGGAUCUCGGUUCUAUUUUGUUGGUUUUCUGAUCUGAGAUAAUGGUUAAGAGGGACGGACGGGGGCAUUCGUAUCGCUGCGUGAGAGGUGAAAUUCUUGGACCGUAGCGAGACGUACGACUGCGAAAGCAUUUGCCAAGAAUGUCUUCAUUAAUCAAGAACGAAAGUCAGAGGUUCGAAGGCGAUCAGAUACCGCCCUAGUUCUGACCGUAAACGAUACCAACUAGCGUUCCGUCGGCGGUAAAUACGCCUUGACGGGCAGCUUCCCGGAAACGAAAGUUUUUCGGUUCCGGGGGAAGUAUGGUUGCAAAGCUGAAACUUAAAGAAAUUGACGGAAGGGCACCACCAGGAGUGGAGCCUGCGGCUUAAUUUGACUCAACACGGGAAAACUCACCUGGCCCGGACACCGUGAGGAUUGACAGAUUGAGAGCUCUUUCAUGAUUCGGUGGUUGGUGGUGCAUGGCCGUUCUUAGUUGGUGGAGUGAUUUGUCUGGUUUAUUCCGAUAACGAGCGAGACUCUAGCCUACUAAAUAGUUACUGAAUAAUUUUUGGUUCAGACAACUUCUUAGAGGGACAAGCGGUGUUUAGCCGCAUGAAGUUGAGCAAUAACAGGUCUGUGAUGCCCUUAGAUGUCCAGGGCUGCACGCGCGCUACACUGGAGGAAUCAGCGUGCUGUAACCAUUACCGAAAGGUAUUGGUAACCCCUUGAAAAUCCUCCGUGAUCGGGAUCGGGAAUUGCAAUUAUUUCCCUUGAACGAGGAAUUCCUAGUAAGUGUGAGUCAUCAGCUCACGUUGAUUACGUCCCUGCCCUUUGUACACACCGCCCGUCGCUGCCCGGGACUGAGCCGUUUCGAGAAAAGCGGGGACUACUGUUUCGAAACCAUUUAUUGGUGGAGAUUCUUUGGUGGAAACCGCUUUAAUCGCAGUGGCUUGAACCGGGCAAAA